GAUGAACGCUGGCGGCGUGCCUAAUACAUGCAGGUCGAGCGAACAGACGAGGAGCUUGCUCCUCUGAUGUUAGCGGCGGACGGGUAAGUAACACGUGGAUAACCUACCUAUAAGACUGGGAUAACUUCGGGAAACCGGAGCUAAUACCGGAUAACAUGUUGAACCGCAUGGUUCAACAGUGAAAGACGGUCUUGCUGUCACUUAUAGAUGGAUCCGCGCCGCAUUAGCUAGUUGGUAAGGUAACGGCUUACCAAGGCAACGAUGCGUAGCCGACCUGAGAGGGUGAUCGGCCACACUGGAACUGAGACACGGUCCAGACUCCUACGGGAGGCAGCAGUAGGGAAUCUUCCGCAAUGGGCGAAAGCCUGACGGAGCAACGCCGCGUGAGUGAAGAAGGUCUUCGGAUCGUAAAACUCUGUUAUUAGGGAAGAACAAAUGUGUAAGUAACUAUGCACGUCUUGACGGUACCUAAUCAGAAAGCCACGGCUAACUACGUG
This 497-nucleotide ribosomal RNA is filed under the name uncultured bacterium. RNAcentral's name for it is "partial 16S ribosomal RNA". It matches the Rfam family "Bacterial small subunit ribosomal RNA", at positions 28 to 507 of the family's 1533-position model. The record is from RNAcentral.